CCUACGGGUGGCAGCAGUGAGGAAUAUUGGUCAAUGGACGAGAGUCUGAACCAGCCAAGUAGCGUGAAGGAUGACUGCCCUAUGGGUUGUAAACUUCUUUUAUAUGGGAAUAAAAUGUUACACGUGUGGGAUUUUGUAUGUACCAUAUGAAUAAGGAUCGGCUAACUCCGUGCCAGCAGCCGCGGUAAUACGGAGGAUCCGAGCGUUAUCCGGAUUUAUUGGGUUUAAAGGGAGCGUAGGUGGAUUGUUAAGUCAGUUGUGAAAGUUUGCGGCUCAACCGUAAAAUUGCAGUUGAAACUGGCAGUCUUGAGUACAGUAGAGGUGGGCGGAAUGCGUGGUGUAGCGGUGAAAUGCUUAGAUAUCACGAAGAACUCCGAUUGCGAAGGCAGUUCACUGGACUGCAACUGACACUGAGGCUCGAAAGUGUGGGUAUCAAACAGGAUUAGAUACCCCAGUAGUC
RNAcentral lists this ribosomal RNA (460 nucleotides) under uncultured bacterium. RNAcentral describes it as "partial 16S ribosomal RNA". It matches the Rfam family "Bacterial small subunit ribosomal RNA", at positions 338 to 795 of the family's 1533-position model. The record is from RNAcentral.